This 253-nucleotide ribosomal RNA is filed under the name uncultured bacterium. RNAcentral describes it as "partial 16S ribosomal RNA". It matches the Rfam family "Bacterial small subunit ribosomal RNA", at positions 524 to 776 of the family's 1533-position model. The record is from RNAcentral.
UACAGAGGUCUCAAGCGUUGUUCGGAUUCAUUGGGCGUAAAGGGUGCGUAGGCGGCGCGGUAAGUCGGGUGUGAAAUCUUGGAGCUUAACUCCGAAACUGCAUUCGAUACUGCCGUGCUUGAGGACUGGAGAGGAGACUGGAAUUUACGGUGUAGCGGUGAAAUGCGUAGAUAUUAGGAAGAACACCAGUGGCGAAGGCAAGGUCCUGGCUCGUAUCUGACGCUGAGGUGCGAAAGCUAGGGGAGCGAACGGG